Long non-coding RNA from Lagopus muta (rock ptarmigan), 3225 nucleotides. RefSeq lists it as uncharacterized. The transcript is spliced from 5 exons. The record is from RefSeq and is a predicted model, not a curated record. Lineage: Eukaryota; Metazoa; Chordata; Aves; Galliformes; Phasianidae.
CCCGACUGAGCCGCUCCAGCCCAGCGGCCACACGAGCCCGCCCGGAAGCGGAAAGGAGAGGCUGCGUUUCAUACAGCGGGUCCGGCGGAAACACGACUCUACCCGGGCCACAGUGGCAGAACUAAUGCAUCUCUCAGAAGAGGGCAUAAUUCCCCCAGCAGUGCUUUCCACCUCUCCACACUGCCUGAUCAGUGUUUGAAGGUACCAACAGAACUACCAGAAGCAGCAAAAGAACCAGAAGCCUGCUUUUAAACAGAAAUGCGGGCAUGGAAAACAAGCUUGUUGCUUUAGAGGAUUUAAUUCUGAAGCACAUCUUGGAGACUCCCACCUAGAAGAAAACAGUCAGUCUGAGAUUUGAAGACCUCAUGAAACACUGUGUUCAGAGCAAGGAAAUUAAGCUCCCAGCAGCAGAUGUGAUUAAAGAAUGCAACAUUUGACAACAAGACAGAUAAGUUGUGGCUCUCAGUGUUGAUUGGCCUUUUUGCAGGACUAGAAAAAUAUAAUUGCCUCUCUCCCAUCAUCUUUAUUUUCAUCACUUCUCCUUUAGUCUCAGCUUUUCAGCCACUAGAAAACAUCUGCCCCCAUGUUUAACUGGUACCUGCACCAGAUUUGCAAUUAUUACUCUAAACAGCCAUCACCACUUAUCAUAGCUCCCAGCUUGAGGUAGCAUGUGAGCAAGAACAACACACCAGCAUUCACAGCUCCUCUGAUAGCCAGAAGCAUAUUCCCCAGCAUUUCCUAAUCAAAUGUGUCCAGAGCAAAUCCAGCUCAGUCCGGUUCCUGCACCCACAACAAAUGAAGUAAAACAAGGAAGAACUGCAGAAAGAGUAUUUGCCUUCUGCUCAGCUACUGCAGACUUGAGAAGACUUGUUACCAGACUUGAUACAUGGAACUCCAGCACUUCUGUAUCCAUCACUCACGUUCUCAGCUUGAGUUUAAAUGAGAGCUAUUGACUAUUUGGAGCUAAGGAGAAAUUGAUGCUACCCCAGCUACAUAAAACCUGCUUUAUGCUGGCAGUCAAAGUCACCUACAGCAAGCACAUUGUGCACCAGCUGAGGAUCUCAUUGGCUCUGAAGCAACAGCUGUUGACUAACUGUACUUCAGCAGGUCUAAGUGUUUGUAUUCCCCGCUAUUUCCUCACCAAGAGCCACAUGUGUACCAAGGGAUAAAAGCCUGCAGAGCAGCUGGAACAUUAUUGUUACAGUAACAGUCAUCAGAGAAAUAGAAGGUGCUGGUACUGCUUGUGGAGUGAUGUCUACCAGCAGGAGAGAGAAGGAAAAAAAAAAAAGUAGUGGUGCAUGAAGAGAACAAGAGACUGGACUAUGUGAUUUCCCUUUAUCCCUCUACAUCCCUUACAGGGACAAGGAUUCCUGUUGCACAUGACUUCCCACAAAAACCACUGCUGUGAUUCCUGCUAGACUGCAAUAUGACCUUAAAGGAAGGAUGUGGCCCCAGUCAGAAAGAUGUGGCCCACGUGAAACAGCAGCUCUUCACAACAGGCCAAAUUUUGUAAGACAGUUAAAUAUUAGCUCAGGAAAUAAAAAUAGCUUCUAGUAACAAUUUUGUUUCAGUUAUGGUUGAAAUGAAUGCAGGAAUAAUGUUUCAGUAAGACAAAAUUGAGACUUUCUUCCAAAGAACCAGUCCCAAAUGCCACAUGCUUGAGAAGCUACAGCUGUGUAUUAUUACACCUGCUAUGGGUUUUCUGCAAUACCAGUUUUCUCGACUAGAGGGUAUCAUUAUUCUUCAAGUGAGCCUAGGUAUUUCAGUUACAGUGAACAAAACAUACAAGAAAUACCUGGUUAAAAGUGCUGCUCAGGAAAACUGAGAUUUUUACCUCACCUGAAUACAGAUCUGAUUUGCACUUGACUUCCUUUCCAGAAGCCAGCAAGGAUGAGAAGUGGAGAAGUAAGGAUGGCAGGACCCAGCUCUGCCAGCUGGCCAAGGGCACACUCAAUCUUGCUCCUUGCCCCAUUUGGCGAGCCAGCACACACUGCCACAGAGGUUUUCCAGCAAAUUUUGGUUUUGUGCUUUAAGACUGUGCCUGCUGGACCAUGGAUACAGGAAAUGUAUAGUGAAGUCUUCAAAAUACACAGACAGCCCAGUUGAAUAAGAAAGCCCUUGGUGGGGUGGGCAAGAAGUCCAAAUACUUUUUCACAUCUCUCCUGACCAGCCACAGAAGGAGAGCAAAGGACAUCAGCCAGGAGAUGCUCAACUAGGGUAUGCCAAGCUCAUCUUCCAGCAUCACCACAGCUUCAGUGGAGAGCCAAACUAACACUUAAUCACAGCUGGCCUCAUUACAGCUAAAUUCAUGCAAUGGUCAGAGUGGAAAUUUUCAGUUGAUCAAAACUUGUUAUGUCAAGUCUGAAAAACCAAGGUAUACAAGGCCAUGAAUCUAGGUAGCUCUGCAUUUACUGAUAUUAUCACUUAAGUCACAGUGGGAGCCAGGCUCUCCUCAGAUCUGCUGGUCUCACAGCAGAGUCCCUUCUCUGUACCUCGGCUUUCUUACAAAAGAAACUUACUUUCUUACUUCUUACUGAGGUGCAAGGUGGCCAAGUUUGAUAACUAGCAUGAAACACUGCUUGGGACAUUCUAAAGUCAGAGAAGUCAAGAGGAUACUUCUAACAAGACCUACAGCAAAAAGACAUUCACCUACUGAGGGACAUUCAAGAAUUUACUGCCUCAUUUCAGGAUUUUGCCAUUGCAACUACUGCAACUGAAGUUCAGCCUUCAGUACUCAUCCACAUCAGAAUCAUUCAGAUAUCUUUUUGUGGUACAGAUUUAUACAUUAUUUGCAAUGUAGAGACUGUGUUAUAUUCCCACCCAAUGUUGCUCACUACACUGAUUCAUAGCUACAGCAAUACACGUGCUCCUUCAAACCACAUAGGUACAGUCACUAUUUAGAGUAAUUCAAUAAUAUACAAAUACAGUAAUUACUCCCUGCCCCCCAAGGAGCCCAAACCAUUACAUGACCUAUUGACCAAAACAGAUGAGUUUUAGAGUUACUUGUAUAAGUUUCAGAUCUGCUUUGGCACAAGCUUCCUUGAGGAAUCAUUGCCAAGUUUGCUAUUUCAAAUCUUAACAUCAGACAUUCAGCUCAGAAUUAUUCUAUUACAAGUACCAUCCUCUGUCACACAGUAGUUUAAACCCCAAUGGUUGAGUAAGUUUCACCAAGCACUAAGACUUGGUAAGCAUCUUAUGAUCAUAUUGAGGGGGGAUGAUGCAGAG